Molecule: ribosomal RNA, 302 nt
Filed under: uncultured bacterium
Lineage: Bacteria
Description: partial 16S ribosomal RNA
Rfam family: Bacterial small subunit ribosomal RNA
Source: RNAcentral
GCAGUAGCCGCGGGAAUACGAGGGGGGCAAGCGUUGUUCGGAAUUAUUGGGCGUAAAGGGUGCGUAGGCGGUUCAGCAAGUCUCGUGUGAAAUCUUCGGGCUCAACCCGAAGUCUGCACGGGAAACUACUGGGCUUGAGUAAUGGAGAGGUGAGUGGAAUUUCCGGUGUAGCGGUGAAAUGCGUAGAUAUCGGAAGGAACACCUGUGGCGAAAGCGGCUCACUGGACAUUUACUGACGCUGAUGCACGAAAGCUAGGGGAGAAAACAGGAUUAGAUACCCCAGUAGUCCCUGUCUCUUAUAC